CCCUUAGAGUUUGAUCAUGGCUCAGAUUGAACGCUGGCGGCAGGCCUAACACAUGCAAGACGAGCGGUAGAGAGAAGCUUGCUUCUCUUGAGAGCGGCGGACGGGUGAGUAAUGCCUAGGAAUCUGCCUGGUAGUGGGGGAUAACGUUCGGAAACGGACGCUAAUACCGCAUACGUCCUACGGGAGAAAGCAGGGGACCUUCGGGCCUUGCGCUAUCAGAUGAGCCUAGGUCGGAUUAGCUAGUUGGUGAGGUAAUGGCUCACCAAGGCGACGAUCCGUAACUGGUCUGAGAGGAUGAUCAGUCACACUGGAACUGAGACACGGUCCAGACUCCUACGGGAGGCAGCAGUGGGGAAUAUUGGACAAUGGGCGAAAGCCUGAUCCAGCCAUGCCGCGUGUGUGAAGAAGGUCUUCGGAUUGUAAAGCACUUUAAGUUGGGAGGAAGGGUUGUAGAUUAAUACUCUGCAAUUUUGACGUUACCGACAGAAUAAGCACCGGCUAACUCUGUGCCAGCAGCCGCGGUAAUGCAGAGGGUGCAAGCGUUAAUCGGAAUUACUGGGCGUAAAGCGCGCGUAGGUGGUUUGUUAAGUUGGAUGUGAAAUCCCCGGGCUCAACCUGGGAACUGCAUUCAAAACUGACUGACUAGAGUAUGGUAGAGGGUGGUGGAAUUUCCUGUGUAGCGGUGAAAUGCGUAGAUAUAGGAAGGAACACCAGUGGCGAAGGCGACCACCUGGACUAAUACUGACACUGAGGUGCG
This 757-nucleotide ribosomal RNA is filed under the name uncultured bacterium. RNAcentral describes it as "bacterial SSU rRNA". It matches the Rfam family "Bacterial small subunit ribosomal RNA", at positions 1 to 755 of the family's 1533-position model. The record is from RNAcentral.